This 353-nucleotide non-coding RNA is filed under the name Glycine soja. RNAcentral's name for it is "Bacterial large subunit ribosomal RNA". It matches the Rfam family "Bacterial large subunit ribosomal RNA", at positions 945 to 1290 of the family's 2925-position model. Lineage: Eukaryota; Viridiplantae; Streptophyta; Magnoliopsida; Fabales; Fabaceae. The record is from Rfam by way of RNAcentral.
UUUCGUUAACAUCGAUUUUAGCAAUAACCGAUGUUAAUAUAGCGAUGUAGAAAACCUUUUUUUUAGUAGUGCUUCAUCAUUGAGAGGGAAACAAUUUGGAUCACUAACUAAGGUCCUUAAAUGACCGCUCAAUGAUGAAGGAGGCAGGGAUGCAGAGACUACCAAGAGGUUUGCCUAGAAGUGGCCACCCUUGAAAGAGUGCAUAAUAGCCCACUGAUCCAGUGCUCUUGUGCCGAAGAUGAACGGGACUAAGUGAUCUGCUGAAGUUGUGGGAUGUAAAAAUGAAUCGGUGAGGGAGCUUUCCGCCUUAGAGGGAAGGACUUGCAAGAGUAGUGCUGGAUGAAGUGGAAGUG